Molecule: ribosomal RNA, 365 nt
Filed under: uncultured eukaryote
Lineage: Eukaryota
Description: partial 18S ribosomal RNA
Rfam family: Eukaryotic small subunit ribosomal RNA
Source: RNAcentral
CAAUAGCGUAUAUUAACGUUGUUGCAGUUAAAAAGCUCGUAGUUGGAUUUCUGGAGGGAGCGUCGGCCCGUAUUUACGAGUGCGUGACGGCUCUGUCCAUCCUUGCGGGAAGGCACGGCAUUGAUUUGUUGUGUCGGAUCGCAUCAUUUACUGUGAAAAAAUUAGAGUGUUCAAAGCAGGCUUUCGCUUGAAUACAUUAGCAUGGAAUAAUAAGAUAGGACUUUGGUGCUAUUUUGUUGGUUGAGCCUAAAGUAAUGAUUAAUAGGGAUAGUUGGGGGCACCUGUAUUGCGUUGUCAGAGGUGAAAUUCUUGGAUUUACGCAAGACAAACAGCUGCGAAAGCGUCUGCCAAGGAUGUUUUCAUUA